Molecule: ribosomal RNA, 468 nt
Filed under: uncultured bacterium
Lineage: Bacteria
Description: partial 16S ribosomal RNA
Rfam family: Bacterial small subunit ribosomal RNA
Source: RNAcentral
GACGAACGCUGGCGGCGUGCUUAACACAUGCAAGUCGAACGGAAAGGCCCUGCUUUUGUGGGGUGCUCGAGUAGCGAACGGGUGAGUAACACGUGAGUAACCUGCCCUUGACUUUGGGAUAACUUCAGGAAACUGGGGCUAAUACCGGAUAGGAGCUCCUGCUGCAUGGUGGGGGUUGGAAAGUUUCGGCGGUUGGGGAUGGACUCGCGGCUUAUCAGCUUGUUGGUGGGGUAGUGGCUUACCAAGGCUUUGACGGGUAGCCGGCCUGAGAGGGUGACCGGCCACAUUGGGACUGAGAUACGGCCCAGACUCCUACGGGAGGCAGCAGUGGGAAAUAUUGCACAAUGGGCGGAAGCCUGAUGCAGCAACGCCGCGUGCGGGAUGACGGCCUUCGGGUUGUAAACCGCUUUCGCCUGUGACGAAGCGUGAGUGACGGUAAUGGGUAAAGAAGCACCGGCUAACUACGUG